UUUCUUAUAUCUUCUUCUUCUCCUCCUUUUUUCCUAUCUACGUACGUUACAUAUUUAUAUGGCAUUUUCGAGAUACGCCGUUACUGCUUCACUUCUUCUUGUCUCUCUUCUGCUCCUCCAUCUUGCAGAAGCUCAAGAAAAGAUUGGCAUCAAUGGAGCAAAUGAGCCUGCACAUGCCCCUUCAAGCCAGACCAUAGAUUGUGGAGUGGCAUGCGAGGGAAGGUGCAAAAUGUCAAAAAGGCCUCGUCUGUGCCAAAGGGCUUGUGGGAGCUGCUGCGCCAAGUGCAAAUGUGUGCCUCCCGGGACUUAUGGCAACCUUGAGUUCUGUCCUUGCUAUGCGAACAUUACCACCCGUAAACAAGUUCGCAAAUGUCCUUGAACCACAUCUAAUGGGUGCUUUUCGGGCAUUAAUUGCUAGUCACUACCAAGGACAAAACUAAUAUGCCCUGCAACUCUUCUAUUCUUUGCUUCUGUCUGUGUUGUGAAAUAAAUUAAUAUUAUUGGUUGUACUAUGAUUUUCUUUUCUUUAAUGUUAAAUUAAUAAUAAAGAGAUGAUGCUAUGUCACUUCAUUUUCAUGAUAGCUGGCCUUUGAUGUCUUUUAAAUCAAG
This 609-nucleotide unclassified non-coding RNA is filed under the name Hevea brasiliensis (rubber tree). Lineage: Eukaryota; Viridiplantae; Streptophyta; Magnoliopsida; Malpighiales; Euphorbiaceae. The record is from RNAcentral.